UCAGUGAUAGUUCAGUGGUAGAACUCUUGCCUUCCGUGUGGGAGACCUGGGUUCAAUUCCCGGCCAAAGGA
RNAcentral lists this transfer RNA (71 nucleotides) under Loxodonta africana (African savanna elephant). It matches the Rfam family "tRNA". From Rfam's summary of the family: Transfer RNA (tRNA) molecules are approximately 80 nucleotides in length. Their secondary structure includes four short double-helical elements and three loops (D, anti-codon, and T loops). Further hydrogen bonds mediate the characteristic L-shaped molecular structure. tRNAs have two regions of fundamental functional importance: the anti-codon, which is responsible for specific mRNA codon recognition, and the 3' end, to which the tRNAs corresponding amino acid is attached (by aminoacyl-tRNA synthetases). tRNAs cope with the degeneracy of the genetic code in two manners: having more than one tRNA (with a specific anti-codon) for a particular amino acid; and 'wobble' base-pairing, i.e. permitting non-standard base-pairing at the 3rd anti-codon position. The record is from Rfam by way of RNAcentral. Lineage: Eukaryota; Metazoa; Chordata; Mammalia; Proboscidea; Elephantidae.